UAUCAUGGUAUCAGGCAAAUUCCUGUUGCCAUUCUGGCUCAGGGAUCGAAAUCCUUGCCCUUGUAUCAAUUCUUUUUCUUCUUUUCUGUGUGUAAUUUGACACAAAUGGAAUCAUUCACACAUCUUUAGCUGUUUCAAAAUCCUCGAAAACUAAAGAAAGGAAAAGAAAGAAAGAAAGAAAGAAAGAAAGAAAGAAAGAAACGUUGUUUCCCAUGAAGUCCUUUGUGCAGGUACAGGUUCGUGAGUCAUAUUAAGAUGUUCAUCCAUUCAUUACAUCUGGGCAUAACAAAAUAGUCCUCGUUGUUGACAUUAUCGGGACCCUCUCCCCUUGACCCCCUUUUGGCCCCUUUUCAUGUUGCUGAGUGGCCCUGGCGCUGAGUGGAGCAACAGCUGAAGAUACCAUGAAGUAUGGCAUCGAUAAUUAAUGCAAGUGAUAAGGGGCCGGCCCCCGCCCAUGCCGAUAUGUGCGUUGGGAACUUGGGAUUGGUGGCUGUUGUCAAUGAAAUGGCCGAAGAAAGGCACUUGGGCACUUGACGCGCAUGGGAAGGAAUGAACGGACAAUUCUGAGUGGUUGGCGGCAAGCCGAGGGUCACCUCUGUUGUCCUGAGGCUUUGGGAGCCCCAGCGGAGUGCAGGAUAUAAAACUGGGAAAGAUAUAGAGGGUUUGAUGAGGUUGGUGAGCUAUUCGAUCAUUCGACUAAACCCUGAAAGCCAUUCAUCAUACCAGCCAAAGUUCUCCUGCCCGCCUUAAAGCAGAUUUACUCCAUUCAGGAUGAACAGGAAUGCAUCCCUAAAUGAAACAACUGCCGAGAUCUACGUCAUGUCUAAGAAGGAGAACUGAGCAAAUUAAAACAGCAAUAGCAUGCAGAAACGACGGUUCCUUAUUCCUCUCCGAACACUUGGUGUAGUUAUAUUCUGACACGUCUACAGUUAUAUUAUCAUGCAGCCCGCCCGCCGCUAUCGAUCCUUUUCCCCUAUCUAAUUGGUAGUGGCAGCUCCAGAUGCAACGUAACUGGCUUAUCUCCAUCAUGCUGUACUGCCACUCAGGCAGUGGUUGGCUCACAGCAUAAAAUAACAUACGUACUGGCAGAUUGAGAGAACCAAGCGAUCGCCAAGGGAAAAUAAAAAUUACUCGUCCAUCCCGGCCAAUCAAUCACCACUUCCGUCAUCGUUCUUACCAUCAUCCAUCGUCACCGUCAUCGUCAUAUCAACCCCCUAUUCCGUAUAAAUUUCAUGCUUCAGGUAUAUAUAUAGGUCGGAUUUUAAAUCCAACCUAUAGCUCGACGCGGGCAACAUUCUUCGGAGAUAAAACAGGAUUCCAGACAAACCUCCCCAUUUGCUUUCUUACUUUCUGUAUCUCUCUGCUUUCUGCUUCCCUACCUAGACGUCCCGUUUAGAGAAUAAACUCGUAUCAUUCAAUGACUUUAUAUGACAAUAUUGCGAGCAAACAUAUCAGCGGGAAUUCACACCACCUUUUUUUUUUUUUUUUUUUUUUUUUUUUUUUUGGAUCGGGACGGGGGAAGGGCAUGAUAUAAUCUAGUACCCCCUGGAUACCAACUUCUGAUCCCUCCCCUCUUAUUUAUUCGCUUUCAUUUCAACUUUAUUGGUCCUCCGCCCAGCCAGAGUCACUAAAUGAAUUGAAAUGCGAUACUACCCCUGGGCUUGCGUUUGAAUUUUGCCUGGACAUUUCCUCCACCUCUUCGCCCUACCAACCCCCAUUAUUCGGUCCUCUCCUUUCACCUCCCAUAUUUCCCCAUCUAUUUCCUUACUCCUAUUCCUUCCAAUUCCGAGACGAGAAUAUGUAGGAUGCAGAUUGCAUGCAUGCAUGCACGUCAGGUCCCAAUUGAAAUAAUUCUGCCCGAGCUCACGGAUUGCCUGGAAGCCUAUCGAUAAGGGGGCUGCGCGUCUGUGCAUGGGAUAUUGCUAGGAGGCUGGUAUGCUUAAAUGGCCUUUCUGGAUGCAUGCAGUAGCUAUAGUUUAGAGGUUGCAUAUUCCGGUUAUCUUUAAGUGAGGAAAAUGGAGACGCUUGGAUUCGACGAGCGUCUCUCAGUUUUCGUCUAAUUAUGUUAUAUUAUAUUUUCUUUAUUUUUUUAUUUUUAUUUUUUUUUUAACCUCCCCCUCCCCCCUCUCUUUCACAAAUGGACAUAUGAUUAAUAUAAAGUCAC
This 2164-nucleotide small RNA is filed under the name Histoplasma capsulatum G186AR. Its description in RNAcentral is "hypothetical RNA". Lineage: Eukaryota; Fungi; Ascomycota; Eurotiomycetes; Onygenales; Ajellomycetaceae. The record is from RNAcentral.